RNAcentral lists this ribosomal RNA (408 nucleotides) under uncultured bacterium. RNAcentral describes it as "partial 16S ribosomal RNA". It matches the Rfam family "Bacterial small subunit ribosomal RNA", at positions 28 to 526 of the family's 1533-position model. The record is from RNAcentral.
GACGAACGCUGGCGGCGUGCUUAACACAUGCAAGUCGAACGAAGUGGCGAACGGGUGAGUAACGCGUAAUCAACCUCCCCUUCAGAGGGGGACACUAGUUGGAACCGACUGCUAUUACCGCAUACUGAAUGACUGGUUUGCGUCGGAUUGGCUAGUGGGAGGGGUAACGGCCCACCAAGGCGAUGAUCAGUAGCCGGUCUGGGAGGGAGAACGGCCAAAAGGGGACUGGGAAAAGGCCCAAGCUUCUACGGGGGGGAGCAGGGGGGGAAUUUCGGAAAUGGAGGAAAGUCAGACGGAGCAACGCCGGGGGGGUGAUGGCGGGCUUCGGGGUGGAAAAGUAUGUUAAGCGGGACGCGGUACCGGAAGAAAAAGCAACGGCUAACUACGUGCCAGCAGCCGCGGUAAUAC